GAAGUAAAAGUCGUAACAAGGUCUCCGUAGGUGAACCUGCGGAGGGAUCAUUACACAAUAUGCAAGCGGGCUGGGAUCCCCGGGAGGGCGUCUAUUCUGCCGUUUCCGUCGCAUCUGCGGUGCUGAAGCGACAGGGCGGGCGUCUUUUCGGCCAGCCUGACUCCAUAUUCACCCAUGUCUUUUGCGUACUACUUGUUUCCUUGGUGGGUUCGCCCACCAACAGGACCAUUUAAACCUUUUUGUAAUUGCAAUCAGCGUCAGCAAAACAAUGUAAUAAAUUACAACUUUCAACAACGGAUCUCUUGGUUCUGGCAUCGAUGAAGAACGCAGCGAAAUGCGAUAAGUAGUGUGAAUUGCAGAAUUCAGUGAAUCAUCGAAUCUUUGAACGCACAUUGCGCCCUUUGGUAUUCCAAAGGGCAUGCCUGUUCGAGCGUCAUUUGUACCCUCAAGCUUUGCUUGGUGUUGGGCGUUUUUGUCUCUGGUCCGCCAGCGACUCGCCUUAAAAUCAUUGGCAGCCGGCCUACUGGUUUCGGAGCGCAGCACAAAUUUGCGCUUCUUCCAGCAGCGGUCCGCGUCCAUGAAGCCACUUUUUCAACGUUUGACCUCGGAUCAGGUAGGGAUACCCGCUGAACUUAAGCAUA
This 641-nucleotide ribosomal RNA is filed under the name uncultured Pyrenophora. RNAcentral describes it as "eukaryotic LSU rRNA". The stretch from base 283 to 436 matches the Rfam family "5.8S ribosomal RNA". The record is from RNAcentral. Lineage: Eukaryota; Fungi; Ascomycota; Dothideomycetes; Pleosporales; Pleosporaceae.